Molecule: long non-coding RNA, 907 nt
Organism: Perognathus longimembris pacificus (Pacific pocket mouse)
Lineage: Eukaryota; Metazoa; Chordata; Mammalia; Rodentia; Heteromyidae
Exons: 3
Source: RefSeq, a predicted model, not a curated record
CACAAAUAGUGAUGGUAUGGCGUGCCCCCCAAAAAUAAACAGUGCUAACCACACAGCACAGUAUUUUAUAGGAUAUUAGUGGUAGUUAUUUCUAAAUUAGUUUAAAUGAAAUAUUAAUGCACACAACCCAAAAUGUUACAUUACUGUACUUCUAAGUUACCACAGAUGGUGGGCAUGGGGGGACAGAGGAGCUAAUUCCCUUUGCCCUCACUGUCUAAAAUAAAGCACAAAAAAUUGAGGGAAGGCAAAUCUGAAUUUGGAAUGUAGGCAUAUACAGUAUUUAAAAUCUACUGUUUAAAAUUUUACAAGUCUGUAGCAUUAUUGGCAUCAAAGAUGGAUACUUCUAUAGUGCUUGUUUUAUAUCCACAUAUGCUGAAAAGGACAGCCAAGCCAUGUGACAGUUUACCUACCAACCCACCCCUUCUACAGAGAAGAGAACCAAGAUUUAACACUGAUUUAUUCAAGGUCCCACCAAAUAGAAGCAGAUCCUCUAUACUCUGAAUAAGCAGUGGCUCCCAUAUGGCUGCAUACUGCAAUCACCUUAAGAGCUUUAAUACUGCCUAACUUCUGAGACAUUUGCAUUCACUGACACUGGGCAUGACUAUGGGUGGCUGUAUCGUUCUUAAAGUUUCCAAGUGAUUUCAAGGUGCAGAAAAAUUUGGGAAUGACUAAGAUCAGAACCAUUAGUUGUAAAAUCAUCUUUUUUGUGAGUGCUUAUAAAUGGAGGGUAAAGCAGAGGUGGGAAAAGGAAUGUGCCUGAAGACAUACAUUUUAAAACAAGGGAUUCAAAUGAGAUUAAUCCAUUUUAUUGAAGAAAUGUACUACUACUCUGCAAUGAACAUUUUGAAAAACUUUUCAUAAAGUCUAAUCCACCCUAUUGCUUUUCUUAGUAAGCCUUUAUUUCACC